This 418-nucleotide long non-coding RNA is filed under the name Populus tremula. RNAcentral's name for it is "long non-coding RNA (PTRE_LNC002315)". The record is from RNAcentral. Lineage: Eukaryota; Viridiplantae; Streptophyta; Magnoliopsida; Malpighiales; Salicaceae.
CCCUUCCAAACCGGUUCAAACCGAAUUGCAAUGCCAAGAUGCCAUCCUUUAAGAAUCAACAAUGUUAUUCUCGUUGUUACAACUUCUUACAAAGGAAAAAAUAAUUGCAAAAAUACAGUAUCAAUUCUUAGCAAUCAUUGUUUUGAUUUUUCUGGACACUCUUCAACUUCUAGACCCGAAAUAAUCCUUCUCUGGCAAUCGAGGUGGGAUCUGUUAAAAGCCAUGAUCCAUGAAGAAGAAUCAAGUAAAUCAAUGGAAGAAUCAUCAACCAUUCAUCUUUGACAUGGCAAGUUUGAGAGAUGAGAGAUGAGAGACAUGGAAGAUUGGUAGAGAAAAAGACAAAUUUUACUCAAAUAUUAAAAGGAAAUAUUAAAGCUUUACCUGUAAUCUUUACCUUUCCUUCACGUUGAGACUUGAG